This 425-nucleotide ribosomal RNA is filed under the name uncultured bacterium. Its description in RNAcentral is "partial 16S ribosomal RNA". It matches the Rfam family "Bacterial small subunit ribosomal RNA", at positions 354 to 796 of the family's 1533-position model. The record is from RNAcentral.
GUGGGGAAUCUUGCGCAAUGGGCGAAAGCCUGACGCAGCCAUGCCGCGUGAAUGAUGAAGGUCUUAGGAUUGUAAAAUUCUUUCACCGGGGACGAUAAUGACGGUACCCGGAGAAGAAGCUCCGGCUAACUUCGUGCCAGCAGCCGCGGUAAUACGAAGGGGGCUAGCGUUGCUCGGAAUUACUGGGCGUAAAGGGCGCGUAGGCGGACAGCUUAGUCAGAGGUGAAAGCCCAGGGCUCAACCUUGGAAUUGCCUUUGAUACUGGCUGUUUUGAGUUUGGGAGAGGUGAGUGGAACUCCGAGUGUAGAGGUGAAAUUCGUAGAUAUUCGGAAGAACACCAGUGGCGAAGGCGACUCACUGGCCCAAUACUGACGCUGAGGCGCGAAAGCGUGGGGAGCAAACAGGAUUAGAAACCCUAGUAGUCC